GAUGAACGCUGGCGGCGUGCUUAACACAUGCAAGUCGAACGGAAAGGCCCAAGCUUGCUUGGGUACUCGAGUGGCGAACGGGUGAGUAACACGUGGGUGAUCUGCCCUGCACUUCGGGAUAAGCCUGGGAAACUGGGUCUAAUACCGGAUAGGACCACAUUUUGGAUGGUGUGGUGGAAAGUUUUUCGGUGUGGGAUGAGCUCGCGGCCUAUCAGCUUGUUGGUGGGGUAAUGGCCUACCAAGGCGUCGACGGGUAGCCGGCCUGAGAGGGUGUACGGCCACAGUGGGACUGAGAUGAGGCCCAGACUCCUACGGGAGGGAGAAGGGGGGAAGAUUGAACAAUGGGCGCAAGCCGGAUGCAGAGACGCCGCGUGGGGGAUGACGGCCUUCGGGUUGAAAACGCCUUUCGCUAGGGACGAAGCGUUAUGUGACGGUACCUGGAGAAGAAGCACCGGCUAACUACGUG
RNAcentral lists this ribosomal RNA (466 nucleotides) under uncultured bacterium. RNAcentral's name for it is "partial 16S ribosomal RNA". It matches the Rfam family "Bacterial small subunit ribosomal RNA", at positions 28 to 507 of the family's 1533-position model. The record is from RNAcentral.